RNAcentral lists this long non-coding RNA (1580 nucleotides) under Homo sapiens (human). Its description in RNAcentral is "HSALNT0332799". The record is from RNAcentral. Lineage: Eukaryota; Metazoa; Chordata; Mammalia; Primates; Hominidae.
ACUUAGUGCAGUACGAUGCACGUAGUGAGAGACCAGGAAAUUCAGCAACAGAAUCACUGACAGAACAGGUCUAGAAGGAGAUCAUCACAAACUAAACAGGACCCCAAUGGCCAUGAACAGCAGAACCCGCUUAACUGCUGCCUGAAACGUAUUCAAAGAGAUGAAAGUACAGAAGAGUUCUAGCCUAAAGCCCAACAGCAACCGUGGAGAGUCCAGGAACCAACUCAUCAGCCCUGUCAGAGCUCAUCAAAGAUGAGAUGUCUUCCAAUUGUGAAAUCAGCUCAGCACAGAAGAGAUGAGCGUGUGUACUACUUUCCAAAAGAGGAAGUGGAUUCAGAAAACUACUUAUUUUGAUGGGUCAGUGAGAAAACAACAAAAACAACAACUCUGUAAACUACUUAGAGGUUUAUUCUGAGUGAAUAUGAGUGACCAUGGCAUGGAGAACAGUAUCAACAGGUUCUGAGAAAGUAUGCCUGAAGUGGUCAGGUUACAGUUUGGUUUUUAUGUUUUAGGGAUACAGGAACUGUAAGUAAAAUCAUAAAUAAGUGCAUUAAAAAUGUACAUUGGUUCAGCCUAAAGAGCCUGGAUGUUUUGAAGGUGAAGUGAGGCUGACAGGUUGUAAGUGGAUUCAAAGAUUUUCUGAUUGUCACUUGGUUAAGAGUUAAGCUUUGUAAAGCCUUGAAGUCAGUAAAAAAGAAUGCUUGAGUUCUAAGGGUAGCUGUGGAGACCAAGGUUCUUGUUACGUAGGUGAAGCCUCCGGGUAACUGCUUUCAGAGAGAAUAGGUGGUAAAUGUCUCCUUUUGGACCCUUAAAGGGGUCAGAGUCUUAAUCUCCUCUAGACCUGGGAAAGGCUGAACCGUAUUAAGCGAGAUUCUCUGCAGUUCUCUGCAGUUCCCCCCAAAAGAUGGCUUCACAGUGCCAUUUCAAAAUAUGUCAAAGAAAUAUAUUUGGUAGUAAAAUAUUUUUAUUUCCUUCAGUCUGCCAUGUGAUGCUACACCAGAGUCAGGCUGGAAUUUGGAAUUUUAUUGCCACGAAGAGUCUGUUGUGUCAGUCUUAUGAUGUCUGUUUUAAUGUUAAUGCUGGUCAGUGCUGCCUGAACUCCUAAAGGGAGGGAGUACGAUGAGGUGUGUCCAACCUCCUUUUCCAUCAUGGCCAGGAAUUUGGUUUUCAGACUUCUCUGGGAUCCCCUUGGCCCAUAGGGGGAUUCAUAAUUGGUUAGGGGGCUUAGGAUUUUAUUUUUGUUUUACAGAUUUUAGUCCCCCCAAAUUCUCAAAUAGAAUUUAAACCUAUGGAUUAUGAACAAUCAAAGGAAAAAAUGAACAUGGUGAUAACUAGACACAAACAUGGAUUUAUUACAGAUAAAUUUUGUCUAACUCAUUUGAUUUGGGGUAAGAGUGUUAAGUUAGUAUAUCAGAAGAAUUAGAUAGUUAUUACUAUAACCAUAAUACUCACAAGGAAUUUAACAAAAAUUUUCUCACAUUCUUCUUAAAUAUAGACUAGAUUCUAGUUAAGUAAAAUGUACAGCAUGGGCUGGGCAUGGUGGCUCAUGCCUGUAAUCCCAGCACUUUGGGAAGCCAAGG